Molecule: non-coding RNA, 244 nt
Filed under: Pan troglodytes (chimpanzee)
Lineage: Eukaryota; Metazoa; Chordata; Mammalia; Primates; Hominidae
Also listed under: 1 other name
Source: RNAcentral
AUUCAAGCUCUUUCUUUUGUUUUAAAAGCCAGGAAAUGUGAAGAAUUCACCUGGAACUAAGUAGAAAACUCCAUGCUCUGCCAUCUUAAUCAGGAAAAACUAGACCAGACCUCUGUUAUCUUCUGUGAAAUCAUCCUACAAGCAAACUAACCUGGAAUCCCUUCACCUAGAGAUAAUGUACAAGCCUUAGAACUCCUCAUUCUCAUGUUGCUAUUUAUGUACCUAAUUAAAACCCAAGUUAAAA